GUUCUACCCUUUGCUAUUUGCAUUUCAUCAAUAUCCAUAUAUUUGUUAUAGUUUGUUCAUUUAGGUUUCACAUUAUGUUUGGGAAGGAUGGAAAUUUUUGAAAAGAUCCGACUUUCCUUUUUUGGGAAAGGGAAGAAAGAAGAGGAUGGAAAAUGAAGGGAAGAGAUUCUGCCCUUGGGCCUGCUAAUAUUUUUCCUCCCACUUAGGAGGGCAUAUGGUUGAAAAGAGAUGAUAUUACCAUU
Molecule: unclassified non-coding RNA, 242 nt
Filed under: Hevea brasiliensis (rubber tree)
Lineage: Eukaryota; Viridiplantae; Streptophyta; Magnoliopsida; Malpighiales; Euphorbiaceae
Source: RNAcentral